This 255-nucleotide ribosomal RNA is filed under the name uncultured bacterium. RNAcentral describes it as "partial 16S ribosomal RNA". It matches the Rfam family "Bacterial small subunit ribosomal RNA", at positions 524 to 776 of the family's 1533-position model. The record is from RNAcentral.
GACGGAGGGUGCAAGCGUUGUUCGGAUUGACUGGGCGUAAAGGGCGUGUAGGCGGUUGGUCAAGUCUGGUGUGAAAGCCCGGGGCUUAACCCCGGAAGUGCGCUGGAAACUAGCCAGCUAGAGCGCGAGAGAGGAGGGUGGAAUUCCGUGGUGUAGCGGUGAAAUGCGUAGAUAGUCAGGAGGAACACCGGCGGCGAAGGCGGCCCUCUGGCUCGUUGCUGACGCUGAAACGCGAAAGCGUGGGGAGCAAACAGG